RNAcentral lists this ribosomal RNA (511 nucleotides) under Burkholderia sp. RZ2MS2. Its description in RNAcentral is "bacterial SSU rRNA". It matches the Rfam family "Bacterial small subunit ribosomal RNA", at positions 59 to 565 of the family's 1533-position model. Lineage: Bacteria; Pseudomonadati; Pseudomonadota; Betaproteobacteria; Burkholderiales; Burkholderiaceae. The record is from RNAcentral.
CAGUCGGACGGCAGCGCGGGAGCAAUCCUGGCGGCGAGUGGCGAACGGGUGAGUAAUACAUCGGAACGUGUCCUGGAGUGGGGGAUAGCCCGGCGAAAGCCGGAUUAAUACCGCAUAAGCUCUGAGGAGGAAAGCGGGGGCUCGAAAGACCUCGCGCUGCAGGGGCGGCCGAUGGCAGAUUAGCUAGUUGGUGGGGUAAAGGCCUACCAAGGCGACGAUCUGUAGCUGGUCUGAGAGGACGACCAGCCACACUGGGACUGAGACACGGCCCAGACUCCUACGGGAGGCAGCAGUGGGGAAUUUUGGACAAUGGGGGCAACCCUGAUCCAGCAAUGCCGCGUGUGUGAAGAAGGCCUUCGGGUUGUAAAGCACUUUUGUCCGGAAAGAAAGCUUCGGGGCUAAUACCCCUGGAGGAUGACGGUACCGGAAGAAUAAGCACCGGCUAACUACGUGCCAGCAGCCGCGGUAAUACGUAGGGUGCGAGCGUUAAUCGGAAUUACUGGGCGUAAAG